AAGACUCUUCACUGGGCUGGCAAGGGGACUGGCCGUAGCGGUGCUGUCAGAGGGCAGAGCUCAUACAAAGUAUAACAAUGUUAUCAUGAAAAAAAAAUCGAGAUUUGUGCCAAAAAACACUACAAUGUUAACAACGAAAUUGUUGAAAACAUAUUUUUUAAACUAUAUUGUUUAACACUAUGGAGAAGCCUGGUCACCCUUUUGCUAUGGCUUGGUUACUGAAUAAGUUACUUUGCACAGUACCCACUUUACACAAGCAUUUGGGUUUGGCCCACUGGAUUUAAAGGCAUCCCGUCCCUUAUCUCCCCUGGUUCCGGGCCAGACCUUUACCAGUGUAGGCUGCAGAGAUUUCAUUUAGCAACUUGCAAAUGUGACAGAAUUAGCACAGGAUAUACAGAGAAAAUAUCAACUUUUUUUCAAAAGCAACUUAGAGUACCGGUAGGCACAGGUAAUAUGCACUCACUGGGCACUGAAUCCUUAGUACCUGGUUCUACCAGUGCCCUAACCCUAGGAACAAGAAUAAUUUAUUUAAUGUUUUUUAGAAAAUAAUUCAAAUGUUUGGUUCAGGUCCUGGGCUCUUUCAAGCACCUUGAAACAAUGAAAAUCAUUAAUGGCGCUAAUCAAAUAUAUAAAAUAGAAAGAAAUUAUUAAAGUAGUAAAAAUAAUUCUGUUCACACAGUGACACACAUAAGGCUUCCACACCUGUCACUCACCAUAUUCCCCACAGCGUUGAAGAGACUGUGAUAAUAUAAUGUAAUCCAAACACUGUCCGCAAUGGUUCCUUUCCAGGAUAUUACUGAAGAUGCAAACUUCAACUGCACAGCCCGUGACCAACUUCACCACAGUGUUCCUGAAUACCACAUCCACCACCAAGUCCAAGGAGCAAAUACUAACUCAGAGUUCUGGUGCUAUGAUAGCACUCAUAGUCAUUGGGAUAAUCAUCAUUCUGAUCAUCUUACUCAUCAUUCUCAAGACCUACAACAGGAGAACCCAUGCGUCCAGGCUGCUCGCUGGUGUUGGAGGCUCCAAACCUCAUAAAAAGUCCUCCUCCACAACACAGGUGAACAUGCGUAUGAGUCACCUGGCGCCCAGUUCCGUGUCUGGGAGUUUCGUGCUGUCGUCCAUCCCGUCAGAGAAUGGCUUCCGUCUCCCACGGGUAGACUUGGCCAAUGUUGACCAUAACAGUUUGGAGCAGUACAGCACAGCCAGCGGCUCUACGGUUGUCAGCGUACACGACGCGCCUUCCAUGGAGAACACGUAGGAGCUGCCGCUGUCACAGCCAGAGCCUCAUGGAACAGACUUCAGAAUCGACGUGCAUGUCAUAUCACAAGGAUUAAUAGAAACAACACCACAAUGAACAAAGGAGCACCGUGCUGAACGCUUGAGCGAGACAGUCACACCAUACUACUGUAGGCCACUUGUGUAAUCCAGCAUAGAGACCUGGGCGAAGGUUCACAUUGUACCACCUCGGGUCAGAGGCCAGAACGCGCUGAUCUCCAGGCUCCAUUGCUGCCCAUGGCCGUUUUACUUAUAACCCACAAUAAUUCUGUGUGAAGGAAGCGAUGCGAAGAACACAAUGAGAAUUUGAGACGGGUUAAAAUAAGCGGGUUGUAGGCUAUAUGUCAAAUUAGUUAACGCAGCCAUGUCAACUGUUUAUAUUAAUUCAACAGAUGAUUUUGCACUGACCGUUGCUGUUCUUGUGAUUGUUGUGACACGUCUUUCAUGAACCUUAAUUGAAUGUGAAUCUUUCCUAGGUUUUGAUUUAAAGCUAAAAGUAUGUUGUAAUAAAAAGAUUUAUUUUUGUAAACUAUUUUAUUUAUUUUACUGAUUUCACUGUCAGGAAACUGUGUUUUAAAUAGGCUAUAAGGCUGUGCUUGCAUAUUAUCAAAAUGCUGAAAGAAUGUGGAAUCAUAGUACAGAGCUUUGUAUACGAAGUCCACAAGGUAGUACCAUAAUAUCCAUGAUGUCCUUUCUGUUUAUCUUCAGGCAAUCAAUUUCCAUAUUGCCCCAAAUAGGGAACAUUAUAUUAUCCAUGUAAUAUCUCCCAGCAUGCCAAAAUACUGAGCAUCACACCUUUUAAAAUCCAGCAGCAUCUUAAUUCAUCUGAAAGUGAUGAAAUACUAUCCACAUUGUAUUUGACUGAUCAAAGUUUCUUUUCUUGGUUAAACAUGGAUUUCAUCGUUGA
This is a long non-coding RNA of Clupea harengus (Atlantic herring), 2185 nucleotides long. NCBI's taxonomy places the organism in Eukaryota, Metazoa, Chordata, Actinopteri, Clupeiformes, Clupeidae. The record is from Ensembl.